AACGAACGCUGGCGGCAUGCCUAACACAUGCAAGUCGAACGAGACCUUCGGGUCUAGUGGCGCACGGGUGCGUAAUGCGUGGGAACCUGCCCUUAGGUUCGGAAUAACUCCCCGAAAGGGGUGCUAAUACCGGAUAAUGUCUUCGGACCAAAGAUUUAUCGCCUUUGGAUGGGCCCGCGUUGGAUUAGCUAGUUGGUAGGGUAAAAGCCUACCAAGGCGACGAUCCAUAGCUGGUCUGAGAGGAUGAUCAGCCACACUGGGACUGAGACACGGCCCAGACUCCUACGGGAGGCAGCAGUAGGGAAUAUUGGACAAUGGGCGAAAGCCUGAUCCAGCAAUGCCGCGUGAGUGAUGCAGGCCUUAGGGUUGUAAAGCUCUUUUACCCGGGAUGAUAAUGACAGUACCGGGAGAAUAAGCUCCGGCUAACUCCGUG
This 433-nucleotide ribosomal RNA is filed under the name uncultured bacterium. RNAcentral's name for it is "partial 16S ribosomal RNA". It matches the Rfam family "Bacterial small subunit ribosomal RNA", at positions 29 to 507 of the family's 1533-position model. The record is from RNAcentral.